UUGCCAUAAAACUAAAACUAAUCUUCUUAAUCUAUUUUGUCUAUCCCAUGCUUGAUGCUGUGUUAUCAGAUCACAGUAAAAUAAUCUUAGUCCAGUAUCUGGGUAGUAACUUCAGAAGAAGCUGGAAACACUGAGGCAGUCGGGGGGGAGAUAUUAGGGGAUGUAACCCUGCCAUGGAGUAUUCACUGACGUGAGUGAGAGAAUUGAAUUCGGAUCAAACAGCUCCUGAAUUCCACCAGGAUCACCCAUUUGCCAGUGACUGCACGCAGUGAGUAUCGUCAGCUGAAGCAGCCAGGAGCCUAUCUCCAUCCCUCUGGAUUGCACAUUUUGAGGAGGAUGAGUGAAGAGAAAAUCAUAGAAUCAUAGAACGGUUCGCUGAAUGAGAGACAGCAGAAGAGAUAUUCCAGCUGGAGGAUGGGGUGCCCAUGGGGCAUGUUUCAACCUUUGGUCUCCGAGGACCUCAAGAUGUGGAAGCCUUUCCUUCCUGGUCAGCAACAUGGGCUGGGGACAACCAGAAGAUAUCAAGAAACUGGGUAGGAGCCCAUCUGGCUGCCCACCUCAUCUGGUUGCAGUGCUGAGACACCAGAACCAUCAAAAGGAAAUCUCAGAUUUGCCCCAGUGCCUUUCCACCUUAACUGAUGUUUUUUUUUUUUCUGUCUCUUUCGAAUGUUGUACACCAAAAUCAUCAGUUCAAAUCAUGCAGAAAUUCGCAGUGCCUGAGAAGAAUUAAUUACACAGUCAUCAUGUUUCCAUAAAACUAGAAGGCUAUUUAUUUAUUUAAAUAUUUGUAGUGUUUGUUUCAUGCAAAUGAUCACAACUCUGAUUAUCUUAGUACACAAUGCAAAUUUAACUCGCAUCUAGUGGGACGAUGUGCUGGUACAGCUGGUUGGAAGCCAGGCAGCUUAGAGAAAUAUUCAUAAGGCAUCCUGAGACUAAAAAUGGCUUGGUGACCUCGGAAAGCUUUUUAGCAGCUUCUAUUGAGUGAACAAUUUGCUUGACAAAUCCCAUCCUCCUUAUUGUGUGUGAAUUAUCCACCAAAAAAAAGCUGCUGUUUUUAAGUAUGGCUUCGUUUUAAAUAAUUCCUCAAAGCUGCACAGACUUUGUCAGGGAUGUUUCGUUACCAGCCAUUUCUGCAGAGGGGGGUGAGCUGAGCUUCUGGUGACCCCCAUUCCUCGGCAGAGCACACCGCUUGGAAACAAACUCCUGCUGCAUAUA
Molecule: non-coding RNA, 1215 nt
Organism: Anas platyrhynchos (mallard)
Lineage: Eukaryota; Metazoa; Chordata; Aves; Anseriformes; Anatidae
Source: RefSeq, a predicted model, not a curated record